RNAcentral lists this small RNA (148 nucleotides) under Pongo abelii (Sumatran orangutan). RNAcentral's name for it is "Metazoan signal recognition particle RNA (ENSPPYG00000040559.1)". It matches the Rfam family "Metazoan signal recognition particle RNA". Rfam says of the family: The signal recognition particle (SRP) is a universally conserved ribonucleoprotein. It is involved in the co-translational targeting of proteins to membranes. The record is from Rfam by way of RNAcentral. Lineage: Eukaryota; Metazoa; Chordata; Mammalia; Primates; Hominidae.
GCCAGGUGUGGUGGUGCAUGCCUGUAAUCCCAGCUACUCGGGAGGCUGAGGCAGGAGAAUUGCUUGAACCCAGGAGGCGGAGGUUGCAGUGAGCCGAGAUCACACCACUGCACUCCAGCCUGGGUGACAGAGCAAGAUUCUGUCUCAA